AGGCGCACAUGGCUUUAAAAACUGUUCAAAAGCCGUUUAUAGUUCCUGAAAAUAACGAAAAAAUGUAACGGAAAGUUUAAGGGUUAACUAAAAUCUUACCUCUUUGACAGAAAGGAACUCCAACAGAGGAAAAACGAGAUGACGAUCUAAAAAGUGGGCAAUUUUGGUGGUGAGGUCGUAUUCCGCCAUCUUUGCUCAGUGAAAAGGGAAACGGAUGUGUGUCACAACUUUGUUAAAACGGGACUGACCAAUCAGCGACAUUCUCACGCUCUCAUCAAUAAAUACAUAAAAGAGCCAAAUACAGUCAUGCUGAAGGCCCAUUUACAGGCCUGCUUAAUUUGAAUGAAAACAACCAGAUCAUUUCCAAUCAUUUGACUUUUCCACAAGGUGCUUGGAGGGCGGAUUUUAUUACUUUUGGAUGGAGCGGGUCUAGCUGUUUCCCCAAGUUUCGGCAAGAAAGGAAAUGAGCGCAUUUCCCAAAGACGUCAAAUUGCUCCAUUAAAGCCAAGGCAAUGUGAUUACUGAAAACUGAUUGUUGUUUGUCAGAUGUAUGGAUACAGUUC
Long non-coding RNA from Eleginops maclovinus (Patagonian blennie), 563 nucleotides. RefSeq lists it as uncharacterized. The transcript has 3 exons. The record is from RefSeq and is a predicted model, not a curated record. NCBI's taxonomy places the organism in Eukaryota, Metazoa, Chordata, Actinopteri, Perciformes, Eleginopidae.